UAGAUCUGCAUUAUCAUAAUUAUGACGUGACUGCUUGCAGGCAAAGGAAUAAUUAUGAUAAUGCAGAUCGUACCUGCGAAGCAGGAACUUAACCGACAUGAGGAAAAUAGUCUGCGAAGCAGACGGUAGAGUGCGAAGCACGGAUUUUCCGAAUUA
This 156-nucleotide unclassified non-coding RNA is filed under the name Lachnospiraceae bacterium. RNAcentral's name for it is "Clostridiales-1 RNA". The record is from RNAcentral. Lineage: Bacteria; Bacillati; Bacillota; Clostridia; Lachnospirales; Lachnospiraceae.